Sorex araneus (European shrew) is the source of this 131-nucleotide small nucleolar RNA. The record is from Ensembl. NCBI's taxonomy places the organism in Eukaryota, Metazoa, Chordata, Mammalia, Eulipotyphla, Soricidae.
UUUGAAAAUAAACAACAAAAGUGUGCUGCUUCCCUGUUUUGGUAAUUAAGCUUUGGGACAUUAAGACUGGAGUGGGGGCAGAUGAUUGGGUAGAAGGUAUUCUCUAUUCAUUUACAUUCUAGCCUACCCAA